UGCAAGUGGGACCCUGAGGGCUGGUUC
RNAcentral lists this non-coding RNA (27 nucleotides) under Mus musculus (house mouse). Lineage: Eukaryota; Metazoa; Chordata; Mammalia; Rodentia; Muridae. The record is from RNAcentral.